GUCACAUUCACUGCUCCAUUUUUUAUUGGUACCACUUGACCACUCUCUCAAACGUUGCUAAAUAAAGACAAACCCUUUUGGAAGAGUGAGAUUUUCUUUGCAAAUUAAGAUUAGAAUUGCUCUUUUCGAAGGUGGCAUUGUCGCUUACUACAUGUGCUGAUUAAUCCUUAAACACUUUUCAAGGAUCUUUUAGCUGCCAAAGAUUCCAAAAAGCGUUUCUGGGUUUUGUUUCAUUUUCCUGUUCCCCUUAAGAUUGUUUCUUGUCAUCUUCAAAAACUUAGCUAAAGCUCAAAAUUUAAUUUCACUGGCUCGCUUGCUUUUCGGUAUGCCUUUUAAUCUUCAUCUUUAUGAUCUGCAUUUGAUUCUUUUGUGGUUUGAUUACAGAUUAGUUGUGGGUUCUUUUGUAUUUUUAGAGGCAGUUUUGUAUUAUUCAAGGCAGUUUCUGGGAUUACUGAUGUUAAAAAGAACAUGAAAUUUACGGUCUUAUUUUAGAUUCAACGAUUAUUUGUUGAUGGGUGUAUUUAUAUGAUGUUUUCGGUGCCUUAAGACUUUGCUUUUGAUGACUACUGCAACUUUCUUGAUGUUAUUUUAGUGAUACUGGUUUCUGAAUUCUUGUUAUUAUCUCUAGAUUCUAGUCAACUUUACCCCAAGGAUUGAUGGCUUUGAAUUUUGAUUUUUUGAUUCUGCUAAUUAUGUGCACAGUGAUACUUAUAUUUUGCUUUGAGCAUUUUAUGUAAAUGUAGUGUUUCAAUAUCCAUCGUUGAUUUGCCCCAGUUUUGAACAAUACUAUCGAAUUGGUUAUGGGUAUAAUUUAUGAAUUCUUGUUGCCCUAAAGGGAAGCUUAUGACGAUCUGAUCAUCUCUAGUCUAAGUUUCUGGAAUUUGUGUAUACCUCUGACUGCCUAAUACUAGAUGACUGCAAGGAACCAAUUGCUACUUCGGACCUCUUGUUGUCACUGGAUCUGAUGUAGUGAUAUUGAACCUUUUCCUUGUGAACAUCCUUCAUGUUAUUAUUUAUAAUUGCUAUGGGAAGAUUUUUUUUCACUCUGUAUUUGUUGCUUAUGGAGGCUAACUCCUAGUUUAACCAUUUAUUGUGAUGAAGAACAACAAUAACAACUAAGUGUCUAAGUCUUAAUAUCAAACUAGUUGGGGUUGGAUGAUAAAGAACAAUUUAUUUAAUUCCUUAUUCUUGUGCAAACUCGAAAACAAAUAUCCUUUUUCUUAGAUUUGUGCUAUUCAAUUCAGAAGGACAAUCAUAACUAUUUUCCAGCCUGGGACCAUAUUUAUGUUGAGCCAACACUGAUUCUGAAUUCUUUUGCAAAAUCUAUUAUUUACUUUGUUGAAAGUUGUGUUUUUUGUGUGCACUUGAGCAUGAUCAUGCUCUCUCCCUCUCUUUUUUUACUAUGAUGUGUUCGGUGAUAGGCUCAUAGGUGAAGAAUUUGAUCCAUAUUAUGGUUUAAAGGAUGCUAUAUAUUCCUGUACUCAGGUGCUACUGCUGUACUGCAUAAAAGGCUUAAGAAUUCAUUUGGUCACAAAGGCACAAUACUUUCUACAAGCUUUGAAGGCUAAGACCUCCUCUUUAAAAGAAGACCUUGGACUUUUGGCUGAAACUGAAUAGAUAAUAGACAUGGUUCAGAAACUAGAAGCUAUCAAGGGUGGUGGAGGAUCCAUCAAGGUGGGGACCACCGGAACAGUCAGUGCACUGAUGACAAGAGAACUGGAAUCCUUUAAAUCUGCAUCACAGACAUCAGUAUCUCAACAAGAUAAGCCUAGGACUGUUCCUGUCUCGAUUCCCUGUAGUGCAACCACUCCUAGAAGAUCACAAGCAAGAAAAUCAUUAGAUGAAGCAAGCAGCAGUACUAAUUGUAGAAGCCCUGAAACAUCUCAGAAGAUGAAAAGCUACGCUAAAAGUGCCCAUAAAAUGCCAAUGCUCUGCUCUGAGAAUGUAAUAUUGGAGAGAACUCCUAGUAGGGAGAAAACCAAGAAGAAAGGAACUAACAUUGUUGAAAUUGUGGACAUAAAAUGUGGUCACCCAGAUAAGGCGUGGGCUAGCCCUAUAACCAGCAAGCUUAAGAAGCUUGGUUUCUCAAAGCUAUCUGAGAGCAUUGUCUAAACUUGCAAGUUCUUGACAUCAGAUUUCAGGUUCCUGUAACUGAAACCUGAAAUCCCUAUUGGCCGGUUGUUGUUUGAAACUUCCACCACAGAGCACAUGCUUGGUAGAAGCCUGCUGCUUCCUUUCUUUUUCUUUUUCGGGGUUGUUAUCACAGAUCCAACAGUGGGUUUGGAUUGACUACUACUAGUUGAGGCUAUUCCAGUAGUAUGGGACUUGGGCUUCUGUGAGCUUUCUGGACAGCUUAAUUCUAGUUGGCUGAAAUAUCUGAUUUCUUGCAUUAUGAGGGACCCAAUGGUUCCUCGAGUGCCUAUGUCUACGGGAUUCUGUGUUGCCAUGUCUUCAGGGUUUUUUGUGGUUGUGGUUCUUGAUUUAUACAUGUUUUGUUUGUUCAGGUGAAGGAGGCUUACAGAUGAAGAGAAGUGGUUUUGGGAUCUUGAUCUGGGUGGGGAGAUUGCUUCAAGUCUGGGGCAUAUGGUGAUUGGCCUUAUACUCGGUGUAUUUACAUGAAUUCUUGACCCCCAUGUUCUUUGUCUGACGUGAAGAGCAUUAGAUUUCCCUAUUUAAAAGAUUAGAUAGUGACAUGUACGUUGUAUUCAUAUGCUUGUUGUCAAUACAUUUAAUUUGUUAACCACUAUACUUUUUCCUCUUUCAACUUCAUGGUUCUGAUUCACAUGUCAAUCAAUGCAUAUUCGGAUCAUGAUUAUGAUUGGCAUUAGAAGGUGAAUUAUGUGAAAUAUCUGCAUAAUACAUUCAUUAUUUGACCAUAA
Molecule: unclassified non-coding RNA, 2879 nt
Filed under: Hevea brasiliensis (rubber tree)
Lineage: Eukaryota; Viridiplantae; Streptophyta; Magnoliopsida; Malpighiales; Euphorbiaceae
Source: RNAcentral